RNAcentral lists this ribosomal RNA (253 nucleotides) under uncultured bacterium. RNAcentral describes it as "partial 16S ribosomal RNA". It matches the Rfam family "Bacterial small subunit ribosomal RNA", at positions 524 to 776 of the family's 1533-position model. The record is from RNAcentral.
UACGUAGGGUGCGAGCGUUAAUCGGAAUUACUGGGCGUAAAGCGUGCGCAGGCGGUUAUGUAAGGCAGGUGGGAAAUCCCCGGGCUCAACCUGGGAAUUGCAUCUGUGACUGCAUAGCUAGAGUACGGUAGAGGGGGAUGGAAUUCCGCGUGUAGCAGUGAAAUGCGUAGAUAUGCGGAGGAACACCGAUGGCGAAGGCAAUCCCCUGGACCUGUACUGACGCUCAUGCACGAAAGCGUGGGGAGCAAACAGG